GUUAGGGGAAGCACACUGACUGAAACGUCCACCCUGGCCAGGCACCAUAGUAACCAUUUGCAUGAGUUGUUUUAUGACAGGAGGUCCUGGUAAGGAACACAGACCUAAUAAGCCACCACCAACCAACCGGAAGAGUUCAGGAAAGGUCAAAAGGAGACACCACAUGUCUGACCACCUCCCAGAAUCCUUCUCUCUGGCAUCCAUUUGGCUGAACAAGAUGAGGACACUGAGGCACAGAGAGGUUCUAUAAUCUGCGCAAGGCCACACAGCCCAUGAGAGGCAGAGCUUAGCUCUGUUCUUACCCUUUGCACUCCGGUGCUCUCAGUGGUGGUGGUUUUAUUUGCUGUUAUCUGUACCGACUCUAUGCCCUCGAAAAAUGUUCCUGUACACGCACCCGGAGGCUUUUGCAGGAGGCGGCUGUUGGAGAACUGGGAAAACAAGCCAAGAAACAAGAG
Molecule: long non-coding RNA, 455 nt
Organism: Bos taurus (domestic cattle)
Lineage: Eukaryota; Metazoa; Chordata; Mammalia; Artiodactyla; Bovidae
Source: Ensembl